RNAcentral lists this long non-coding RNA (552 nucleotides) under Medicago truncatula (barrel medic). RNAcentral's name for it is "long non-coding RNA (MTRU_LNC006317)". The record is from RNAcentral. Lineage: Eukaryota; Viridiplantae; Streptophyta; Magnoliopsida; Fabales; Fabaceae.
GCAAUGGAGAAUGAAGGCGUCAAAAGAAUAAAUGCGAGCAUUCCAGAUGUAGUUGUGGAACACAUUAUGCAUAACAUGGAUGACUUCGAACUCAGAAACCUCUUUCUCAGGUAACUGAUUGAUUUUUGUAAUUUGUAACUAACUUAUUUUGUAACUAAUGACUAUUGCAUCUAACAAACAGAUAUGUAGGGAAUGGAGGGAUAUGGAUUCAGAUACACGGAAACACAUCACAAUUCCUCUAAUUUACGCAUCCACUCCGGAAAAACUCAAGAAACGGUUUCCUAAACUUCAAUCAUUGAAGCUCAAAGGGAAACCUAGAGCAGCAAAGUGUGGUAUUAUACCGGAGAAUUGGGGAGGUUAUGUUUCUCCAUGGAUUAAAGUGAUUCAAAAUUAUGAUAAUUGUUUGAACUCUUUACACUUCAAGAGAAUGAUUGUGAGCGACCAUGAUCUUUUGAUUCUUGCGGAGAGAGGCGGGAGUCUUUUUUCUCUUGUGCUUGAUGACUGUAGUGGGUUUACGACAAAAGGACUUGAAGAUAUUUGUCGUUCUUGCAC